CGUGAUUUGGGCUAUAUUACGGGGCAAAAAUUAUAUGUUCGGACAUUGUUUUCGAAUAUUUUACAUGUAUCAAAGCUCAUAUAAACAGAUAGGGUACUCCUACAUAGCUGGUGGGACCCACGCCAAAUGGAUCAUAAAGUCCUCAAAAAAAAAUAGAUACGAUUGCAUUGCAUGUAGUAACAGAUGCGAUCAUACCAGCACUAAUGCACCGGAUCCCAUCAGAACUCCGUAGUUAAGCGUACUUGGGCGAGAGUAGUACGAGGAUGGGUGACCUCACGGAAAGUCCUCGUGUUGCAUUCCUCUUUUUUCGGUUUUCCUCUAUUUUGUUUUGUUAAAAAUGUAUGACUCUAUAACUUUAAGACCGUGAGGCCAACCUUGAACAUGUGAUACCUUUUCGGAAAGCCCUAAAGAGAGCUCUCCGAAUGAAAGAGGAAGGAAAAUGGAAUUCUUCUAUUGUUUUU
RNAcentral lists this ribosomal RNA (461 nucleotides) under Arabidopsis thaliana (thale cress). The record is from RNAcentral. Lineage: Eukaryota; Viridiplantae; Streptophyta; Magnoliopsida; Brassicales; Brassicaceae.